UACAGAGGGGGCGAGCGUUGUUCGGAAUUACUGGGCGUAAAGGGCUCGUAGGCGGUCCAUCGCGUCGGGAGUGAAAAGCUGGGGCUUAACCCCAGUCCUGCUUCCGAUACGGGUGGACUAGAGGUAGGUAGGGGAGAUCGGAAUUCCUGGUGUAGCGGUGGAAUGCGCAGAUAUCAGGAGGAACACCGGUGGCGAAGGCGGGAUCCUGGGCCAGUACUGACGCUGAGGAGCGAAAGCGUGGGGAGCAAACAGG
This 253-nucleotide ribosomal RNA is filed under the name uncultured bacterium. RNAcentral describes it as "partial 16S ribosomal RNA". It matches the Rfam family "Bacterial small subunit ribosomal RNA", at positions 524 to 776 of the family's 1533-position model. The record is from RNAcentral.